Molecule: ribosomal RNA, 253 nt
Filed under: uncultured bacterium
Lineage: Bacteria
Description: partial 16S ribosomal RNA
Rfam family: Archaeal small subunit ribosomal RNA
Source: RNAcentral
UACCAGCACCCCGAGUGGUCGGGACGAUUAUUGGGCCUAAAGCAUCCGUAGCCGGUUCUACAAGUCUUCCGUUAAAUCCACCUGCUUAACAGAUGGGCUGCGGAGGAUACUAUAGAGCUAGGAGGCGGGAGAGGCAAGCGGUACUUAGUGGGUAGGGGUAAAAUCCGUUGAUCCAUUGAAGACCACCAGUGGCGAAGGCGGCUUGCCAGAACGCACUCGACGGUGAGGGAUGAAAGCUGGGGGAGCAAACAGG